GGGGUUGUGGCUCAAUGUAGAGCACUCACCUAGCAUGUGUGAGGCCCUGGGUUCGAUCCUCAGCACCACA
Molecule: transfer RNA, 70 nt
Filed under: Marmota monax (woodchuck)
Lineage: Eukaryota; Metazoa; Chordata; Mammalia; Rodentia; Sciuridae
Description: tRNA.Ala
Rfam family: tRNA
About the family: Transfer RNA (tRNA) molecules are approximately 80 nucleotides in length. Their secondary structure includes four short double-helical elements and three loops (D, anti-codon, and T loops).
Source: RNAcentral